Long non-coding RNA from Aedes albopictus (Asian tiger mosquito), 3193 nucleotides. RefSeq lists it as uncharacterized. Lineage: Eukaryota; Metazoa; Arthropoda; Insecta; Diptera; Culicidae. The transcript has 3 exons. The record is from RefSeq and is a predicted model, not a curated record.
AAGGCACACCUGUUCGUCGUAAUGGAUGUGUUUUCGAAAUUCUCCUUGCUGUUUCCGGUUCGAAAGAUUUGUGCUUCACAAGUGUGCGAAAUCCUAGAAACAGCUUGGUUCCGGAGAUAUUCUGCACCGGAAUACUUAAUCUCCGAUAACGCGUCCGCGUUUUUGUCCUCGAACUUUAAAGAUCUGCUUCAGAAGUUUCAAGUCCAACACUGGACGAAUCCACGCCAUCACAGCCAAUCUAACCCGGUAGAACGACUGAACCGCACCAUAAAUGCCUGUAUUAGAACCUAUGCUAGGACCAAUCAGACACUCUGGGACACACGUGUACCCGAAAUCGAAUUCGCUUUAAACAAUACACCCCACGUUGCCACUGGAUUUUCCCCCUACCGCAUAAUCUAUGGCCAUGAAAUUGUAAGUCGCGGCGAUGAACAUAGACUAGAUCGGGACAUAGAAGAACUUUCGGAUGCAGAGAGAAUUCAAAGAAAACUUCAAAUCAAUCAAUCUAUUCAUGAACUAGUUCUCAAGAAUCUUAGGAAACAAUUUGACAAAAAUUCACAACACUACAACUUGCGUCACAAGGAAUUCGCCCCGGUGUACCAUGUUGGUCAAAAAGUGUUUAAGCGGAACUUUCGCCAAUCCUCAGCUCCCAAUCGCUAUAAUGCCAAACUGGGACCUUGCUAUCUUCCGUGUACCGUCUUAGCGCGGGUAGGAUCCAGUUCCUACGAAUUAGCCGAUGAAAACGGGAAACCAAUCGGUGUAUUCUCUGCGGCAGACCUAAAGCCGGGGGAAAACUGAAAAGAAAAACAACCAAAACAAAAUUCAUUCACUUAACGUUUAAAAGAUACAUCAAUCAAAACUUUCCUUGUUUAGUUGCGGCCGAACUAAACACUGGAGUUACUCCUGUAACGAAAUCAAAAACGUAUUAGUCAUGCAACCAAAAACUCGCGAUCAGCUGUGUACUGCAAAUCGUUCCCAACCAUCCAAAACCAAGGAUGAAUGAUUCCUUUCAUUGAAUGACUCCCCCACACAACAGACUGUAGAAAUGUAAACAAAUCGGUACCGUAACUGUGAAUGAAAACAGCUCCUGUUGAACACGCGCGCAUUGUUCUUUCGGAAGCAUUCAAGGAAAAGACUCAUUUCGAUUCAGAUAACGUACAUAAACUCACCUGCAAUAGAUUUUAAAUUUAGUUUGUCCAUUUUCGUUCCAAAUUCAAUUUUGCUCGUCGAUUCACUGUUUGUUUAUUUUUUUUAAUUUGUAGAUCGUCAGACAGCUCGUAUGUUUUAGUGUUGGUGAGUGACUCCGGAGAUAUCUUUCCAUUGAGUGAAAGAGUUGCUCUGGCGACACAGUGUUGCCAAAUCCAUGUACAACACAAUUGAUUUUCAAAUGAAAAUAAAUUUGAUGUUGAUUUGAAAUGAUACGCUAUUUAGGCCUCAUGCUCAAUCAAAAUGAAUGUUUACAUUCAUUUCAAACUGGGAUGACGGGGCAUUUGUAACCGUAGGUUCCAAUUUAUAAGCUUGUUGGCUCCUCCACAAGCAAUCCCUUCAUUUAAACCUAGCGCACCAGUAAGCACCUAAAUCCCAAAUCCAACCCUGAACCAACUGACAGCCUUACUGGUGGAGAACUCACAGCUGUCGGUGAAAUGCGCAGGCUGGCUACUCAUAUAGCACUCGUAGUGGAUGCUCACACCUGUCACUUAUUAUAACAGUGGUUUGAAGCUUAAGGUAAUGCAACUCAGAGUUCCUUAAGGGAUACCAACCAUCACGACUAUACUGGGUGCUGACACUCGGAAUAGUUCGGUUUCUCUGUAGACCGUUUAAUCAUGCGCCAUUGGAGAAAGAUCUUUCUUUCUGUCCGUGACCGCCAAAGAAGAUUGAAGUGCGCGUCGGUCAAUCUUAAAAAUCUAUUUCGCAGUUAAAAAGCCUAGUUAAAACCUACAAAGCUAUCUUAAAACUAAGUGUUAGUGCUUAAAUAAAAACUACAGUACGUUAAACCAGAUCAAGCCACGUGUGUUAACCAAAAAAACCACCAUCUGUGCCAAUUAGAAGUAAACCAUUAUAAGAAAAGGUAAUUUCUUUUGUGUAAAAUCAGAGAGAGAGAGUGAGAGGAGGGAGAGACGAUUGUAAAGACGAGGGUACUAAUCACCAGGAUCAGGUCCGAUCUCGGGCCUUUUCUUUUACGGCUCUUCGGGCACAUCCCCGAAGCCUUUAUUCCAUCCACAGACUGGACGACGCCAAAACCCAGAUUCAAGCCAGAAUCUCCCGGCUCGAUAGCCAUCCCGUCCGCCAUCUUGGGAUCAGGUCUAUUCACGGACAGAAGAACGGGUCGCAAGCUAUAGAAAAACCGCCAUUUUGGGACAAACUGCAGCUACCACGUGCCAAGUUGCCAUCCAGCCACCAGGACACCGGUCCAAGACGGGUAAUUCGCCAUCCACUGGCCAAACGCCGGUGAUUCCCGCCGAUUCCACUGGUCAAGCACCGGUGAUUACCGCCAUCCAUCCGGCCAGGACCCGGUGACUCCGCCAUCGGUCAAGGCAGCCAAGGUCAGCUGACGACAAGUUUCGCCCCAAGCCAUCAAUCCACACCAACUCCGAACCGGUAGGGAACCGGUACAGCACCCAAGCCUCCCACCAUGUCAGCUCGAUAGCCACCGAGCAGCCGUGCCUCCGCCGUGCUUCUCGGCCAGCUGCAAAGCAGCCAUCUUGCCUCCGUACCUCCGCAUCACCAGUUUCGCUGCCGUGCCGCCGUCGUGCCACCAUCAAGCCGUCAUCGUAGCAUCACCACCAGACCACAAAAAGCGCAAGUACCCUCUCAUGUGCCGUCUCUCUCGUAAAAGCCCAAAAGGGCGAAUAAAUGUAUGUAAUAUGUAGUUAAAUGCAAUGGUGGUCAGAGUAUUCUUUUUGGACGCAUUUCCCUGAUUACAUCAUAUACACUGCUUUCUUAUUUCGCUGUUUCGAACCCAGAAAGGGGUUAUUAUGCCUCAUUCUUAGCGGUCCGCAUUCUGCUUUGGUAUCGGUGACUGGUUGUUUCCCUUUCCACCCGAACCGUGAGUUGAUUUUGAAUCAAGUUCCCGCUCAGGUAAGUGGACUAGGGUGUUCUAGUGUUCAGAACGGUGCUAUUUUGAGUAGACGACCCCGUGCUCUACUUAAUCCCACCCACAACAAGAUUAUAUCCCGUCGGAGCAGCCGAAGGGCUU